AUUGAACGCUGGCGGAAUGCUUUACACAUGCAAGUCGAACGGUAGAGGGGGCAACCCCUUGAGAGUGGCGAACGGGUGAGUAAUAUAUCGGAACGUGCCCAGUCGUGGGGAUAACGUAGCGAAAGUUACGCUAAUACCGCAUACGAUCUAAGGAUGAGAGCGGGGGAUCGCAAGACCUCGCGCGAUUGGAGCGGCCGAUAUCAGAUUAGGUAGUUGGUGAGGUAAAGGCUCACCAAGCCAACGAUCUGUAGCUGGUCUGAGAGGACGACCAGCCACACUGGAACUGAGACACGGUCCAGACUCCUACGGGAGGCAGCAGUGGGGAAUUUUUGGACAAUGGACGCAAGUCUGAUCCAGCCAUUCCGCGUGCAGGAUGAAGGCCCUCGGGUUGUAAACUCCGUUUUGUACGGAACGAAAGUUGUCUUAAUACGAUGAGCUCAUGACGGUACCGUAAGAAGUAA
Molecule: ribosomal RNA, 461 nt
Filed under: uncultured bacterium
Lineage: Bacteria
Description: bacterial SSU rRNA
Rfam family: Bacterial small subunit ribosomal RNA
Source: RNAcentral